Molecule: long non-coding RNA, 626 nt
Organism: Molossus molossus (Pallas's mastiff bat)
Lineage: Eukaryota; Metazoa; Chordata; Mammalia; Chiroptera; Molossidae
Exons: 3
Source: RefSeq, a predicted model, not a curated record
CUCAUGUAUAACCUCACAUCCUGGCACACUGACCUUGCUGAGCACCUAGAGAGUUGGAUGGUGAUGGGGAACACAUCUCUCUUCUUGGUCCUGUGACCUUCUCAGGGUGCUAGAAGCCUUCACUUCCAGCCCACUUAGGCAAGGCUAUGUGACUAGUUCUGGACCAGGAGGUGGAGUACAAGUGACACAGGGAACAGCUGCUUUCCAGUUCUCUCUGCUCCUCCAUUCUCUGCUGCAACCACAAAGGAGAUACUGAGGUCGGAAGAGCACACUGAAUUGCUGAGUCACCACCUGGAGGACAGUAGCUCUGAUGAAUUGCCUGGACACGUAGCAGUUUUUGUGUGAAAAAAGAUGAUGGAGUGCAAAUCUAGUGGAAAAAUCUCUAGCUUAGGAGUUGGACGCCAGGACUCUUCAUUAUGUCUCCAACAAGCUAGUUAACCUUGGACAAGUCGCUUCACACCUGUGGUCCUCAACACCUUCAUCUUCAAAACGAGGGGAUCGGUCCUCAGAUGAUUGCUAAAAUCCUGACCAUUAACUUUAAAGACUCUUUGGGGAAGGAACUGGUAAAUUUUUGGUUUGUUUUCAAAGGUGAAGUAACAUUUCUGAAAUUUUAAUAUUCAGAUACA